GAUGAACGCUGGCGGCGUGCCUAAUACAUGCAAGUCGAGCGAACGGACGAGAAGCUUGCUUCUCUUAUGUUAGCGGCGGACGGGUGAGUAACACGUGGAUAACCUACCUAUAAGACUGGGAUAACUUCGGGAAACCGGAGCUAAUACCGGAUAAUAUUUUGAACCGCAUGGUUCAAAAGUGAAAGACGGUCUUGCUGUCACUUAUAGAUGGAUCCGCGCUGCAUUAGCUAGUUGGUAAGGUAACGGCUUACCAAGGCAACGAUGCAUAGCCGACCUGAGAGGGUGAUCGGCCACACUGGAACUGAGACACGGUCCAGACUCCUACGGGAGGCAGCAGUAGGGAAUCUUCCGCAAUGGGCGAAAGCCUGACGGAGCAACGCCGCGUGAGUGAUGAAGGUCUUCGGAUCGUAAAACUCUGUUAUUAGGGAAGAACAGAUGUGUAAGUAAAUGUGCACAUCUUGACGGUACCUAAUCAGAAAGCAACGGCUAACUACGUG
This 497-nucleotide ribosomal RNA is filed under the name uncultured bacterium. Its description in RNAcentral is "partial 16S ribosomal RNA". It matches the Rfam family "Bacterial small subunit ribosomal RNA", at positions 28 to 507 of the family's 1533-position model. The record is from RNAcentral.